UAGCAGAGGCAUUCCCAUGUCUUAGAGCACACAGAGUCAUCCAGUGCACUCACAGGAAUGCCAUUUAACUUUGCCUUUCUCUAAGCCAGGUGCCAGCCCUAAUAAAGGCCACAGCCUUGGAAUCAGGAUGAAGCUGGAGCCUGAGGGAGCCAGGCACACUCAGGAGAGGGCAGGUAGGAAUGCUGUGCCCCAAGCCGGGGUGCUUUGGUUUCUGCUGAGCAGGGCUUGCCCUAUUCAAGGACUUUGCAGUGUCCCUUGGUACACCAGUGCAAUGGUUUCUGCUGGGAAGGAAAGGAUGAGCGUUGAAGACAGAGGCAACUAAUGCACCUUAAACACCUUUGCUGUGUCUCUGUCCUUGUUUGAGAGGUGACCAUCCACACCGUGGAAGGGGACGAGAUUAUUUCAAUUUUAUUUCUACUACAGGUUUUUUUGAUCCAUUAAUGUAUUUAAAACCACUUUUUUUAUCGUGCCCUGCCGUACUGUCUGUUGCUGUCUCAACAAUGGAUGUAUCUGUGAGAGGACAUCACUCUCCUGGGCAGUGAGUGCUAGAGGACAAAGCCCUUAGCUUAGCAUUGUUGGGACCAAACAAGGCAAGGAGUCAUGGGUUUUCUUAUUUUACUUCUUCCCCCAUUUGUCAUCCAGACUUCAAAAUGAAGACCUGUAAAUGCCUAGCUCUGUCUUGUGUUUAAUGUGUUUUUAUUUGUAUUUAUGUAACCGCAAAAAGCAGUGAAAGAAGAAAUGUGACUGGAUCUCACUAUUACUGUGUGAGGGCUUAUUUUAAAGGCUGGUGUAUUUAUGUUCUCUUUUUCCACUCCAAGCUUGACUUUUCCCCUCGUUUUUCCAGGUCUGCUGCAUUGGGUGUCCCAAGGAGGGCUGGGUUCCUCAGCAGGGGUCUUAGGAGUUGGUGCUGAUUCUACUUUUUCUGAGGGUGUAUCGAAGUGUGCUAGCAGAAUGAUAGUUUUCUGCACUGGAAAGCUUUCCCUCACUGCCAUCAGUGCACGGAUGUGUUUGAAUUGUGGAACCAGACGGACUAAGGAAAGCCAACACCCGUAGCAGAUUUCUGUUUGCUCUGUGUCUGUGAGAAGCGGGCUGUGUGCUGGACAGGGAGAGGCGCUGUUGGAGUGGCAUCGGCGCCAGGUGUGAGUGUGAGGAUGAUGAGGGGCUCGGAGCAGCCCAGGUGUGAGUGUGAGGAUGAUGAGGGGCUCGGAGCAGCCCAGGUGUGAGUGUGAGGAUGAUGAGGGGCUCGGAGCAGCCCAGGUGUGAGCUGUGAGGAUGAUGAGGGGGUGGCUCUUGCCGGGGCGGUUUUAACGGGGGGAGAGUUUGCCUCUGUACAUUUUUGCAUGGAGCUGCUGAGUGGAGGGGUUUAUGGGGCGCUCCCGGCGCUGUCUCACGGAAGGACUGCGAGAGCUUCUCCCAGGGUCGGCGGGAACACCCGGAUUCGCGCUUGGAUACGUCCAAGCAUCGCUUAAAGGAGGUGCCGAGGGACGAAUCUUUGUGCCGGGGAGCAGCAGCCGAACAGGAUGGCGGAGACAAUUUCCGGUCCUCCCAGCUGCCGUCUCUAUGGUUUCAACGUGCCAGAAGGGUUUUCCGGUCGUCCCGUCCCUUCUCUCUAUGGUUUCAAGAUGGCGGAGACUAAUUCCGGUCCUCCCAGCUGCCGUCUCUAUGGUUUCUACGUGCCAGAAGAAUUUUCCGGUCGUCCCGUCCCUUUUCUCUAUGGUUUCAAGAUGGCGGAGACAAUUUCCGGUCCUCCCAGCUGCCGUCUCUAUGGUUUCUACGUGCCAGAAGGGUUUUCCGGUCGUCCCGUCCCCCGCCUCUAUGGUUUCAAGAUGGCGGAGAAAAUCCCCGGUCCUCCCAGCUGUCGUCUCUAUGGUUUGAACGUGCCAGAAGGGUUUUUCGGGUCGUCCCGUCCCCCGUCUCUAUGGUUUCAAGAUGGCGGGGACAAUUUCUGGUCCUCCCAGCUGCCGUCUCUAUGGUUUCAACGUGCCAGAAGGGUUUAUCCGGUCGUCCCGUCCCUUCUCUCUAUGGUUUCAUGAUGGCGGAGACAAUUUUCGGUCCUUCCAGCUGCCGUCUCUAUCGUUUCAACGUGCCAGAAGGGUUUCCCGGUCGUUUUUAUUUGGUUAGAGGCAGGAGUUUUAUUUUAAAUAAUAGAAGUGUUAUAGGAAUGUGAAUCUUAAGAUAGAAAUAGAUAAUAAAUAUAUAAAGGGAGAUUGCUAAACUAUGACUACAAAUUGAACUAUAAAUAUAGGUAAGUAAUAUGAAGAGUUGUAGUAUAGAAUAUAAAUAACAUGAUACGGCAAUA
Molecule: long non-coding RNA, 2299 nt
Organism: Zonotrichia leucophrys gambelii
Lineage: Eukaryota; Metazoa; Chordata; Aves; Passeriformes; Passerellidae
Exons: 3
Source: RefSeq, a predicted model, not a curated record